Molecule: unclassified non-coding RNA, 348 nt
Filed under: soil metagenome
Description: partial contains 5.8S ribosomal RNA, internal transcribed spacer 2, and large subunit ribosomal RNA
Rfam family: 5.8S ribosomal RNA (bases 1-120)
Source: RNAcentral
GAUGAAGAACGCAGCAAAAUGCGAUAAGUAAUGUGAAUUGCAGAAUUCAGUGAAUCAUCGAGUCUUUGAACGCACAUUGCGCCCCCUGGUAUUCCGGGGGGCAUGCCUGUCCGAGCGUCAUUGCUGCCCUCAAGCACGGCUUGUGUGUUGGGCCCCCGCCCCCCGGCUUCGGGGGGCGGGCCCGAAAGGCAGCGGCGGCACCGCGUCCGGUCCUCGAGCGUAUGGGGCUUCGUCACCCGCUCUGUAGGCCCGGCCGGCGCCCGCCGGCGACCCCAAUCAAUCUUUCCAGGUUGACCUCGGAUCAGGUAGGGAUACCCGCUGAACUUAAGCAUAUCAAUAAGCGGAGGA